UACGGAAGGCAGCAGUGGGGAAUAUUGCACAAUGGGCGCAAGCCUGAUGCAGCCAUGCCGCGUGUAUGAAGAAGGCCUUCGGGUUGUAAAGUACGUUUCAGUCGUGAGGAAGGUGUUAAGGUUAAUAACCUUAGCAAUUGACGUUAGCGACAGAAGAAGCACCGGCUAACUCCGUGCCAGCAGCCGCGGUAAUACGGAGGGUGCGAGCGUUAAUCGGAAUUACUGGGCGUAAAGGGCACGCAGGCGGUUAAUUAAGUUGGAUGUGAAAUCCCCGGGCUUAACCUGGGAAUGGCAUUCAAGACUGGUUAGCUAGAGUCUUGUAGAGGGGGUAGAAUUCCAUGUGUAGCGGUGAAAUGCGUAGAGAUGUGGAGGAAUACCGGUGGCGAAGGCGGCCCCUGGACAAAGACUGACGCUCAUGUGCGAAAGCGUGGGGAGCAAACG
This 441-nucleotide ribosomal RNA is filed under the name uncultured bacterium. RNAcentral's name for it is "bacterial SSU rRNA". It matches the Rfam family "Bacterial small subunit ribosomal RNA", at positions 340 to 774 of the family's 1533-position model. The record is from RNAcentral.